This 545-nucleotide long non-coding RNA is filed under the name Lactuca sativa (garden lettuce). RNAcentral describes it as "long non-coding RNA (LSAT_LNC001975)". The record is from RNAcentral. Lineage: Eukaryota; Viridiplantae; Streptophyta; Magnoliopsida; Asterales; Asteraceae.
AAUGUGUGUCAAUAGUAACAAAUUGUUGUUUUAAUAAUAUAAGUUUAACUUCUCACCCACAAUAAAAAGACAUUAAAGAAAGACAACACUUGAUAAAAUUGAUUAAUUGUUAGAACGUGCAUGUAUCCAUAUAUAAAUAUGCAUGUAUUUAGAUUAUAAAAGAUUUAUCAAAGUUUAGCAUGCGAUUGGCCUAGACAAGGGCAUAGGGUCAUGUAACGGUGUUUCGAUUGAAAAAUAUUGGCAAGAAAAAAGAAUCGUAAAUUUUACAUCAAUAUUGGUUUAUAAAAGAAAUUUCUCUUAGGUCAUCUCCAACCCACCCUUAAAUUCCAUUUUUUCCCCUAUUUAUUCCACAUUCUUCUCUAAUCCUACCCCAUUUUCAUAUCCAUCUUUGGAGAUAUGCGAUUUGGCCUAGACAAGGGCAUAGGGUCAUGUAACGGUGUUUCGAUUGAAAAAUAUUGGCAAGAAAAAAGAAUCGUAAAUUUUACAUCAAUAUUGGUUUAUAAAAGAAAUUUCUCUUAGGUCAUCUCCAACCCACCCUUAAAUUC